GGGAUACAGUUAAGAUGUGGUGGCAAGAGAACUGAAUGUCUCAGAAAAUGUUAUAAAAAUUAAAUUUCAACCAGGGAGCUGUUGUCAGAAAUUUGGUAUUUUAUUUUACCACCAAUCCUAAAAAAAUUGGUUUGCCACUUAUAUUUCCUAAAAAAAAAAAAAAAUAAAUAGAUAGAUAAGCAAACAGCAACAACAACCAACUGGAUACUUACAUUUUUAAUUACUUCCUUGUUUCAGUACCUCAAUCAUACCUCAGUACAUUUUAAGAGAUUGAAGUACUUAGAAGCUAUAAAACCAUUAUUAUUAUUAUUAUUAUUAUUUUAUUAUUAUUGCUCUUAUGAAUGCUAUGUCUGUCAUGAAAAAGCUAAGUUCAGUGUAUGUGCUAUUAGUUGGAGUUUUCUGUGAUUUUGCCACUGUAGCUCCCACAUGUGUGGAGUACUAGAUCUCAUGGCUUGGUUAUUUUAUACCUCAGGGUUCUUAACCAGGGCACAGGCAACAAGUUUCCAACCACCAGCUGUGAUGCAUUGGUUGUGAUGGUGCUAGAUGUGUAGCUCCUACACAGUCUGGUGGUCAUGGAUGUCAUGUGUUGUGGUUUCCUCCUUUGUCCACGCCAGGAAAGCCUGCUCUCCUGCCAUGUGACUCCUCUGUUAUGUAACUCUAAACCACAACUGUGAGGAUGAGCAAACACUGACAAGGCUCUAUGGUUUGCAGACAGAUUCAACUAUGUCCUUCAAGGGAGUCUUCAUUUAGUGGGAAAGCAGGUCUGAUUACCUUGGAAGGUAAGUAUGAGGGAAACAUGAUUUAUUUCAAAUUUUGUAAGUAUUGUACAAAACAGGUAUGUAUUUAGAGAUUCUGAUGUGAAGCUCUCUCAUGAUGGAACUCUAAAGCAAAGCACUUUCUCUUUUGUCCCAGGUUUGGGGCCUCCAUACUGAUCUCUUGGUACUGUCUCUCCCCAUCUCUAAAAGAAGUCCAUGAUGUCAGCUACAUUACAGACUUGUGUUUUUUUUGUUGUUUUUUUUUUGUUUGUUUGUUUUUUGUUCAGACCCCAGAUUUCACAUUCAUUUUCUGGGCUUUGCUUUCAAUACCACAGAUUUGCAGAAUUGAAUGACAUGCUCUCUUCUGACUAAUGCUGAAGCUCCGGUAUUGCUGCUGACUUUCCUGAGGACAAACAAAUAACGGAGGGGAAAUGGAGCGGAAAAUUCCUUGUGGACACCUGCAGGAGUUGCAAAAUAAUAAUAAAAUUUAGGUGAAGGAAAAGUUCAUUCUGUGUCAUUGUUGUUUUUGUUUUCUUUUCCAUACAGUCGUAAACUGAAGGUCACAUUUUCUGCCCCCUGGCAGAGUGUAAGCAUGCCAGAACACUUCACAUUACGUAGAUCAUAUUUGUCUGAAAUGAUAAUAUCAUACCUAUAGUCUGCUGCAGGCUGAAAAGUAGCCUAUGCCUCAGAUACUGUUUUCUGCCUUUGCUUUUGUUACUCCAUCUUUGUAAGUCUUCAAAAGAGAAAUGAAGUUAUCCUAUUCAGAGAAAAC
RNAcentral lists this long non-coding RNA (1527 nucleotides) under Cairina moschata (Muscovy duck). RNAcentral's name for it is "domestica (muscovy Duck (domestic type)) lncRNA (ENSCMMG00000012322.1)". Lineage: Eukaryota; Metazoa; Chordata; Aves; Anseriformes; Anatidae. The record is from RNAcentral.